This 502-nucleotide ribosomal RNA is filed under the name uncultured bacterium. RNAcentral's name for it is "partial 16S ribosomal RNA". It matches the Rfam family "Bacterial small subunit ribosomal RNA", at positions 32 to 523 of the family's 1533-position model. The record is from RNAcentral.
AUUCAACGCUGGCGGUAUACUUAACACAUGCAAGUCGAACGGCAGCACAGUAUGUAGCAAUACAUAUGGGUGGCGAGUGGCGGACGGGUGAGUAACGCGUAGGAAUCUACACUAAAGCGGGGGACAACCCGAGGAAACUCGGGCUAAUACCGCAUAAUCUCGAAAGAGUAAAGCUGGGGCAACCUGGCACUUUAGGAGGAGCCUGCGUCCGAUUAGCUAGUUGGUGAGGUAAAGGCUCACCAAGGCGAUGAUCGGUAGCUGGUCUGAGAGGAUGAUCAGCCACACUGGGACUGAGACACGGCCCAGACUCCUACGGGAGGCAGCAGUGGGGAAUAUUGGACAAUGGGGGCAACCCUGAUCCAGCAAUACCGCGUGUGUGAAGAAGGCCUUAGGGUUGUAAAGCACUUUAGUUGGGGAAGAAGGAUAGUUGUUUAAGAGAUGAUUAUUUUGACGGUACCCAAAGAAUAAGCACCGGCUAACUCUGUGCCAGCCGCCGCUGUAA